RNAcentral lists this ribosomal RNA (519 nucleotides) under uncultured Acidobacteriota bacterium. RNAcentral describes it as "bacterial SSU rRNA". It matches the Rfam family "Bacterial small subunit ribosomal RNA", at positions 385 to 896 of the family's 1533-position model. Lineage: Bacteria; Pseudomonadati; Acidobacteriota. The record is from RNAcentral.
GACGACGCAACGCCGCGUGGAGGAUGAAGGUCUUCGGAUUGUAAACUCCUGUUGCCCGGGACGAAAAGCUUCGACCUAACACGUCGAAGUCUGACGGUACCGGGUGAGGAAGCCCCGGCUAGCUCUGUGCCAGCAGCCGUGGUAAUACAGAGGGGGCAAGCGUUGUUCGGAAUUACUGGGCGUAAAGGGCGCGUAGGCGGCCUUCUAAGUCGAACGUGAAAUCCCUGGGCUCAACCCAGGAACUGCGUCCGAUACUGGGAGGCUUGAAUCCGGGAGAGGGAUGCGGAAUUCCAGGUGUAGCGGUGAAAUGCGUAGAUAUCUGGAGGAACACCGGUGGCGAAGGCGGCAUCCUGGACCGGCAUUGACGCUGAGGCGCGAAAGCCAGGGGAGCAAACGGGAUUAGAUACCCCGGUAGUCCUGGCCCUAAACGAUGAAUGCUUGGUGUGGCGGGUAUCGAUCCCUGCCGUGCCGAAGCUAACGCAUUAAGCAUUCCGCCUGGGGAGUACGGUCGCAAGGCUG